CCGCCGGGCACCGGGAGGCCGUUCCCUCUCGUUGUCCGCUUUGUAUCCGCCGCCCGACACUCCGCCCGUGUGCCUGUGAGGGGUCGGCGUGGGACGGGCUGCAGUCACGUAGAAUAAAGGAGUUUGAAAAAAGGCUUUAAAGGAAACUCAGGAAAUGUGAAGCUUAGACUGACCACUUGCAGACACAGGAUCAAGGCUGCAGCUGGAAGGCAGGUGGGAUACACAAAAUGUAACCUAUGCAAGAACAGCUCUGAGAUGGAAUGACAAUGAUGAAGCCAAGAAAAUGCUUGGGAAUCUCAGAACAGCAUCUCAAACACCAGGGGAACAACGAUGCCUAAUUGGAUUGCAUAUCCUCAGAUAAUUUUCCUGCUUACAACACCAUAAAGCAUGAAGCAACCCACAUCCCAC
Long non-coding RNA from Calypte anna (Anna's hummingbird), 408 nucleotides. RefSeq lists it as uncharacterized. Lineage: Eukaryota; Metazoa; Chordata; Aves; Apodiformes; Trochilidae. The record is from RefSeq and is a predicted model, not a curated record. The transcript is spliced from 3 exons.